RNAcentral lists this transfer RNA (75 nucleotides) under candidate division SR1 bacterium. RNAcentral's name for it is "tRNA-Val". It matches the Rfam family "tRNA". From Rfam's summary of the family: Transfer RNA (tRNA) molecules are approximately 80 nucleotides in length. The record is from RNAcentral. Lineage: Bacteria; Candidatus Absconditibacteriota.
GGGCGAAUAGCGCAGCGGUAGCGCAGCUCGUUUACACCGAGAAGGUCGGGGGUUCGAUCCCCUCUUCGCCCACCA